RNAcentral lists this ribosomal RNA (211 nucleotides) under Escherichia coli. RNAcentral's name for it is "partial 23S ribosomal RNA". It matches the Rfam family "Bacterial large subunit ribosomal RNA", at positions 2738 to 2925 of the family's 2925-position model. The record is from RNAcentral. Lineage: Bacteria; Pseudomonadati; Pseudomonadota; Gammaproteobacteria; Enterobacterales; Enterobacteriaceae. RNAcentral also lists the same sequence under 1 other name.
CUGCCCGGUAGCUAAAUGCGGAAGAGAUAAGUGCUGAAAGCAUCUAAGCACGAAACUUGCCCCGAGAUGAGUUCUCCCUGACUCCUUGAGAGUCCUGAAGGAACGUUGAAGACGACGACGUUGAUAGGCCGGGUGUGUAAGCGCAGCGAUGCGUUGAGCUAACCGGUACUAAUGAACCGUGAGGCUUAACCUUACAACGCCGAAGGUGUUU